AAACAUAUGAUCGGACUUGACAUAAUAUUGCGAAGAAACUGAUAUACUUCUGAAUUUCAAAACAAGAGACUUGGCUACGGCCUUUAAAAACAUAUUAUCGGACUUGACAUAAUAUUGCAAGGAAACUAAAAGAAAAAAAAGCAUUAAAAACGACGAAGAAAUGGCUGUAUGGGCUUGAACCCUUUGCCUGUCCUAAUAUUGGACGAAAAAAACCAAAAAAAAAAGCAGGCAAAGAGCGCGACAAUUAAUGAAAAUUGUAAACUCAAGUAAAUAAAUCGUGCAUACCCGGUUUUAAGAGCACCUGAGUUUUUUUUUAUUUUGGAUACAAACGUAAAUAAAACAUGCCAAAUAUAAAUACAAUAAAAAAAGCAGCAGGAAUAAUUAAGAAAAGACCAUUCAGGGUAUCAAUAGAAGGCAAUAUUGGUUCUGGAAAGUCAACGUGUAUUAAAUACUUUGAUAAAUACACUAAUGUUGAAACACAUCCUGAACCUAUUCUAGAAUGGCGAAAUGUAAAUGGCCAUAACUUACUAGGACUCUUAUAUGGUGAUAUGAAUGAGUGGAGCUUUUCAUUUCAACAUUAUGUGCACUUAAGCCGGCUUAAAAUACAAACUAGUCUUCCAUCUCACAAUGAUAUAACAGUGAAAAUGUUUGAAAGAUCAGUACAGAACAGUAGACAUUGUUUUGUAGAGAAUGCGAAAAGUCAGAAAUUCUUGCUUGAUGCGGAAUAUCAAGUAUUGAUCGACUGGUUUGAUUACACAGAGAAGAAUUUGGACAUCAGUUUAGACCUCAUAGUAUACUUGAGGACAACACCAGAAGUUGUCUGGGAGAGAAUGUUAAGACGUGGAAGAGCAGAAGAAUCUGAAGUGCCAUUAGAAUACUUGAAGCAAGUACAUGUAUCAUAUGAAAACUGGCUGAAUUCUCCUACUGUUGGGUGUGAAGUAUUGACUAUUGAUGCUGAUAGAGACAUCGAAAGCGUGAAGGAAGACUUAGAAAGAUAUACAUACAAAAUAUUGGGGGGUAAUCACACAAAUUAGCGUGAUUUGAGUGACUGUGUUUGACCGAAAAAUAAUCAUUUUUUUAUUAGUUGAUAGGUAUAGAUUGAUAUAAGCACAAUUUAUUAUUAGUAUUUUGUUUUGACAUUUAGUGAAUAGCGAUAAUAAAUGAGAAUAUAAGGUAGAUUAUGGUUAUAGGUAAAGCUAAAAAUUUACUUAUACUAAGAGUUAAACACAAUUUAUAUAAGCGAAACCCACGGAAAGUAAAGUUACUCCAAGUCUAAACUUACUUCUCUCUGCCAUGUAAUUCUGUAGUGACAAAGGUGAGAUAAAGUCAAAUAGAUUUAAAUUUGUAAUUACUUUACUUCGCGUUUAUUAAUAACACAAAGUUAAUGUAUUGUAAAAAUCAUUAUAUUAUAAGAAUAAUCUUGUAACUAGUGCAAAUCAAAAUCCACUUUUUCCAAUUUUAAUCCAAGUUAUUAUUAUAGACCGUUGAAUAGAUUUCUUAUUGCUACACUACUGUUUGAAUGUGGAUUUUGGCUUCACAGCUCGCCACUGCUCACCCGGUCCUAAGUCCCAUCUAAUGCUGUCUUGACUAGGUCCGUCCAUCUCAUGUAAGUUCAACCACGUGUUCGUGGGUCCGCAAUCCUUUCGCAACGCUAGAAGAACUCCUUUCCACGUCGCGAAAUUGCCCAGUGUUUACAGUAGACUGUAGAAUCUUGAUGUCAAGUUAUUGCAGAAGGGAGAAUUUGUUACGGUUUUUUUAUGUAUAUAAGAGGGGGCAAAUGGGCAAGAGACUCAUGUAAUGGGAAGUGCUGAGGCAAGCCCAUGGACAUCCGGAACACGAGGGUACAAGAGAUGUUGACGGCUUUAUAGUUGGGAUGCUCUAUGCUUGAAGGUCCCUGAGUCGUCCCUGUAUCAGUUCAGGAAAACUGCACUCUGUAAUUGAUUCCACAAAGUGGCUGUGUGACGCAAGAGGUUCCUCGCAACGCACCCAAGCGUUGUUCUCAGACACUCAUCCACGGUCCAAGUAGCAAACAAAAAUAUCCAACAUUUUUAGUCAGGAUUUUGAUGGCUUUAAUAGUUUCGAUUUCUCCAAAUUUGCUUAGUUUGUCCAAGGCAGAUUUGGACAUAAUAUAAUUAAUUUACCAUAAGCUUAAUUUAAUCUCAUCGGCGCAUCCCCCUCUGUUGGUUAUCUGCGCUCUAAGAUCAUCAAACGUGGUAACAACUGUUGGCAGUAUUUAUGAGUUGCCAAUAUCAGGAUUGACAGUCAAAAUUUUAGUUUAGUCCGAUUGAUCUUAAACAAAGGAUGGAUCCCAACACCAGUUUUAAUUAUGUCCAAAAUAUCGUGAAUCUCAUUUACAAUUGUGAAAUCUUUUUGAUUUAAAACAAUAUCAGAAUUGAUCUUUGACGGUGGAAACAUUUAAUUUAAAAGCGUUUUAGAAUGUACUACUCCACCUUGUUUUUGCACACAGAAUUACAGAUUCUUUUUUUAAAUUCAAUAAGGUAGUUUUUGUAGGUGAUUUAUGAUUACCUUACUACGUUUCGAACCUUUGCUAGUAAAUCGUAAUAUUUUUAAUAAGAUAAAUGCCGUCACACUUAUUCUUAAUUGAAAACCAUAAACCGCCUGUAUCAGAUUAUUCUGCAGAUUCGCGAAUUUUAUCAGCUUGCCGUAAUAACAGGGCCAAACCAGCUAACAGUAUCUUGCCCUCCUGCAAGCUUUGUUCAACGAUUUUAUAAUCUUCAUCCAUAAUAGUUAUAACUUUCUUGUAAAACCCAGCAAUAUCUAUUUGUAAGAAAAUUUCGUAUGUCUCCAGUUUUUAUUUAACUGUUUAAAUGCGUAUUUUUGCUGGCAAUAAUUAAUCCGUAAACUCGAAUGAGUCUUCAAAUUUUAAAUUUGCUGGGUUCACUUAGUAAUGGUGAGUUUAAAUUAAAUUUAACUAAACCUGCUAAAGUUUCUGUUUGAGAUACGCUCAUCGAAUGAAAUAGCAAAAUAUAUUACUUUUUCAAAUAGAACCUUCUGAAAUCCUUUUGUUCAUCGCAUCGAUUAACAAUUACUACAAACUGUGUUAGCAGACUUACAUUUCCUAAAACCUCUCUAAUAUCUUCGGCCUUUAUUAGCGUCGAAAAAGUUGAAGAUGAUUAGAUAUUAACUAGGUUUGGGGUCAGAGGUAUUGAUAUCACUCCAAAACCAUGUAGGAAUUUUAUUACAAUUAGCUUGUAACUCCAUGUAAAUAAUUAACAAGUAAUUUUUUUUUUUUUAAUUAUUUGCUCUGAGUUUAAAGAAUUGAUAAUAAAGUAUUUGUAUUAGGAUUACUUUUAAACUUGGCCUAGCUACUAUUGCGUUCUAUGUACCUACGGGUAUUUUUUUUAAUGUAUCAUGACCAAAACCCUGGCUGUUGUGAUAAAAUGUAAUCACAUAUACUUCGAAUUCACAAUAUCUCAACCAAUCUAGCUCAUAAAAUUAUUAAUUUAUUUUGAUUUUUAUGAUGUAAGUACUUACCUAAUUAGAAUAUUUAUAGUGCUUUUACAAUUAAUGCGUUCAAAAUAAUAAUAUAUAUUAUGAAUGAAA
RNA transcript from Leptidea sinapis, 3564 nucleotides. It is a transcript of the gene named deoxynucleoside kinase-like, with no coding region annotated. The transcript has 6 exons. NCBI's taxonomy places the organism in Eukaryota, Metazoa, Arthropoda, Insecta, Lepidoptera, Pieridae. The record is from RefSeq and is a predicted model, not a curated record.